UACGAAGGGUGCAAGCGUUAAUCGGAUUUACUGGGCGUAAAGCGUGCGUAGGCGGCUUUUAAGUCGGAUGUGAAAUCCCCGAGCUUAACUUGGGAAUUGCAUUCGAUACUGGGAAGCUAGAGUAUGGGAGAGGAUGGUAGAAUUCCAGGUGUAGCGGUGAAAUGCGUAGAGAUCUGGAGGAAUACCGAUGGCGAGGGCAGCCAUCUGGCCUAAUACUGACGCUGAGGUACGAAAGCAUGGGGAGCAAACAGG
RNAcentral lists this ribosomal RNA (252 nucleotides) under uncultured bacterium. RNAcentral describes it as "partial 16S ribosomal RNA". It matches the Rfam family "Bacterial small subunit ribosomal RNA", at positions 524 to 776 of the family's 1533-position model. The record is from RNAcentral.